GGCUCAGAUUGAACGCUGGCGGCAUGCUUUACACAUGCAAGUCGAACGGUAACAGGCCUUCGGGCGCUGACGAGUGGCGAACGGGUGAGUAAUGCAUCGGAACGUGCCCAGUCGUGGGGGAUAACGCAGCGAAAGCUGUGCUAAUACCGCAUACGAUCUGCGGAUGAAAGCGGGGGACCUUCGGGCCUCGCGCGAUUGGAGCGGCCGAUGUCAGAUUAGGUAGUUGGUAAGGUAACGGCUUACCAUGGCGACGAUGGGUAGGGGUCCUGAGAGGGAGAUCCCCCACACUGGUACUGAGACACGGACCAGACUCCUACGGGAGGCAGCAGUGAGGAAUAUUGGACAAUGGGCGCAAGCCUGAUCCAGCCAUGCCGCGUGCAGGAUGACGGUCCUAUGGAUUGUAAACUGCUUUUGUACAGGAAGAAACACUCCCUCGUGAGGGAGCUUGACGGUACUGUAAGAAUAAGGAUCGGCUAACUCCGUG
Molecule: ribosomal RNA, 484 nt
Filed under: uncultured bacterium
Lineage: Bacteria
Description: bacterial SSU rRNA
Rfam family: Bacterial small subunit ribosomal RNA
Source: RNAcentral